UUUUCCUUAUCUUACCAAGUAUGAGAUCUAUUAUUUAAGGGAGAAGAGAUGUAUAUGGCACCGAUAAUUUUUUUUGUGAAAGAAGAGUGUAAGAGAAGAAAUAUAUAUAUGGUAAAAGAGUAUAUAUACAUAAUGAUUUAUAACAUUAAAAAAAAUCAAAAGUAAAUAAGUGGCUAGUGUGCACUGCGUUUUUCGGUUGGACCGUAUUGUAAAGACCUGACUUCAAUUUGAAACGUGGUCUAUGCCUUUUCAACCCUUUUUUGAAAUCCGCAGUUUACUUUAAAAAAAAACACUGAUUUCUGAAAAUGUGUUGAAUUGUGACAUAUGUUUGGUUUUCAAUGAUAACAAAUGAAAAACGCCAAAAAGCUUUCCUCAUUCACUACCUUAAGCUCUGCAUUGUCAGUUGCGGUUUAAUUGCAGAUAAAUAGGCUGAUUGGUAACUAGUGUUAAUUUUGGCUGUAGAGACUUUAACUGUAAAAAAUUUAGCUGCAAAGAAUUUGGCUGUAGAGACUUUGGCUUUGAAAACUUUAUGUGUUAAAGUCUGAUCGGCAACCGAAAGCUGUAAAAGCUGUUAAUUUUAUUAUUUAUU
Molecule: small RNA, 589 nt
Filed under: Arabidopsis thaliana (thale cress)
Lineage: Eukaryota; Viridiplantae; Streptophyta; Magnoliopsida; Brassicales; Brassicaceae
Description: ATSL262720
Source: RNAcentral